AGCGAACGCUGGCGGCAGGCUUAACACACGCAAGUCGAGCGGGCACUUCGGUGUCAGCGGCAGACGGGUGAGUAACACGUGGGAACGUACCCUUUGGUUCGGAAUAACGCUGGGAAACUAGCGCUAAUACCGGAUACGCCCUUUUGGGGAAAGGCUUGCUGCCGAAGGAUCGGCCCGCGUCUGAUUAGCUAGUUGGUGGGGUAAUGGCCUACCAAGGCGACGAUCAGUAGCUGGUCUGAGAGGAUGAUCAGCCACACUGGGACUGAGACACGGCCCAGACUCCUACGGGAGGCAGCAGUGGGGAAUAUUGGACAAUGGGCGCAAGCCUGAUCCAGCCAUGCCGCGUGAGUGAUGAAGGCCUUAGGGUUGUAAAGCUCUUUUGUCCGGGACGAUAAUGACGGUACCGGAAGAAUAAGCCCCGGCUAACUUCGUG
RNAcentral lists this ribosomal RNA (433 nucleotides) under uncultured bacterium. RNAcentral describes it as "partial 16S ribosomal RNA". It matches the Rfam family "Bacterial small subunit ribosomal RNA", at positions 29 to 507 of the family's 1533-position model. The record is from RNAcentral.